AGCCCAGUAGUUUAGGGGUAGAACGUGGAGCUUCUAUACUUCGGUGACUCCAAGGCCAGAGUUCGAUUCUCUGCUGGGCUA
Pseudocercospora fijiensis CIRAD86 is the source of this 81-nucleotide transfer RNA. It matches the Rfam family "tRNA". Rfam says of the family: Transfer RNA (tRNA) molecules are approximately 80 nucleotides in length. Their secondary structure includes four short double-helical elements and three loops (D, anti-codon, and T loops). NCBI's taxonomy places the organism in Eukaryota, Fungi, Ascomycota, Dothideomycetes, Mycosphaerellales, Mycosphaerellaceae. The record is from Rfam.